RNAcentral lists this long non-coding RNA (2678 nucleotides) under Bemisia tabaci. RNAcentral describes it as "lncRNA ENSSSA1UGG007264". The record is from RNAcentral. Lineage: Eukaryota; Metazoa; Arthropoda; Insecta; Hemiptera; Aleyrodidae.
UAUUGCGUAAAUCUGAUAAGCGUUAAUCGUUCUUUUUUUGUGUGUUAAAAUUCAAGUACAGUGCAAGAGCCGAUACGGUUAUGUCCGUCAGUUGAUUACAGAUUAUCAAGUAAGGCAUUCGGCCAGAACAGCAUGACACGUUGUAACCUAAAAAUAUUCCUUACUUAAUUGUGUUGAUUUUCUCUUUUUAUUAUUCUUCAAUGAACAAAAAUGGGAAAUGCCCAAGAUGACGAGCAUUGAGAAAUGUAUGUUAUUGUUCACACUAAUAUUAUUUGUACAAACAGUAUCACAGGUUGAAAGUGGAAGGAUGAAGGUCCGCAGAACCGGAAAAACAAGUAAAGCUGAGCUGCACAAACUACUGCGCUUUGUGAUGACACACGACGGCUGUCAACAGUUUACACCACUGAAUAGUCGUAAAAACCCCGCUUUUACGCUAACCAACAAAAACUGCCACAAGUCUUGUGAAAUCGUGAAUGACCUCUACCGGGAACAUCACAAGAAAGAUCCUCGCCUAAUUCUUCGAGGUAGCUGCAAAGUGGGCCUCAAACUCGUCUCCCUCCAGUGUAAAUGUCAACUCGCCCACCACUAUGCUCGUAUCUUCCGGUGGCGAACUCUGCAGUAUUGCACGCGCAAGUAUCUCAACGACACUUUCCUUAAUACGUCAAGCGCUCCCGAGCUUGAUUCGUUCACAAAGACGCCAAGAAAGGAGUUAUCUGCUAGGACCCCGCCGACCGACGGAGAAUCCACUAUCAAGAAAGAAACGGAGAACUCCUUCCAUGCGUCAUCUACGAGCAAAGCGACCACAGUUAGGUUGGCAAUGGACAUAAACGCCAUGGCGAAUAUGACGGGUCAGGUGGACAUGACAACACGAAGAACUAUCAUUCGGAAGAAGAAAAAGCCAAACAAACCAUGGAGGAAAUAUGGCUAGCUAUAUUAUGUGAACUAGUUUCCCGUCGUAUAUAAAUGACGUCGCACAUAUAAGAUAUAGGAUAAAAGUUAAGGAGGUAUCUAACGAGAGGGGAGGAGGGAGAUCAAAUUAAACAUAAGGUAAGGAUGAAAACGCCUGAUAAUUGAAAAUUUGGAUUAGUAAUUUUAGAUCACAGUCAAAAAGACAAUGCAUCUUCGAGCAUGGCUAAACCUUGGCUAAAUUAGAAAUGUAUUUGAAAUGCGUGAAACUGUAUUGCAUAAAUGGUAAAAUAAUUCACUAUUUUUGACAUUCACUUUAAAAAAUUAUACUUAAUUAUCUUGCAUCCGUUAUUUAUAUAGAUAUUUAAGUAAGGUUUGUGCAUUUAUUUAGCAACAUAUUCAUUCGUAGAUUUCUCAAACGCAGUGUUAAACUGCCUUGGAGACUCUCUCGGUCAAUAAUUGUUCUUAAAGAAGAAGACACAAGGAAAGGAAUAGUGUCAAAAUUAUUUGUAAAAAAAAUACAUUAGAAUUACUGUCCCGUAAUACAUGUGAAAUAUUCGGCCUAUGUAAAGAGGCUUUUGAGGGUGCAUUCUAAAAAAGAAAGUAGUAUGGUAAGGGUAAAAUGCGCGUUUACUUUAGAGCGGAGCCGCAGCAAUACUAUGGUCAUUCAGACAUACUAAGUAUAAAGAAAAAAGGAAAAACCAAUAGAAAGAGUACGUGAAGUGUUACAAGAGAGUGCUACUAUAAAAAUUCUCAAGGUGUUAAUGGGCAUUAUUUGUGCAAUCACUCCUUCUGUAUGUUUUGAAGUCCACUCAGCAGAAUGAAGGCGCACUUUACCACUUCAGAUUCCAUGCUAUGCUUUCCUACCCGCAUGAUACGUGAUCCAUGUCCAUGUAUUUGAGGAUAUGGACCAGCGAGUACAUUGUAUACUGUAUUGCCCUGUGAGAUGAAUGAUAUUGAAACAUUUUGUACAUUAAAUCAGAGCUUAUCUGUACUUUUAUUUUUUUCUCUUUAAUUGAUUUUUUUUUAAUCAUGAACUUUUUUCUUCACAUCUUACUCAAAACUCGCAAUUAAAAUAAGAUGUAAAGAGACUUUUACUGUACUAGUAUAUCACCCAUUGGCAGCUUUUUACAAUUUUUACUUAGCAAAUAAAGACAUUUUCAGAAAAAGAGCACGUGAACACACCAAACAAAUCAAACAUACCAAACAAAAAGAACACAUAAAACACACCAAACAUGACAUUAACAUAGAUUUAUGUUUUUUAUAGGAUCACUCUUGCUUCAAACUUUUUAAUAACAUACCUACUAUUCAUUACUUCACAAAACGAAGUAUAAAAUAUCUCCGAGCAUCUGUCAUUAUGGGAUUACUUUUUCCAAUGUGACCUUAAACCACACUGAGAAAGUGUUACGGCUUAUACACCAAUUAGUGGUCCAUAUGGAACUCCACUAAUAGUAGUAAAGGAAUAUAUAAUAAUAUCACAUAUACCUUUGUUAUGAUGUAUGUAUCUAUGUAGUAUAGUAGGAGAUACCUCAGUAUGGUUCACAGACCGAUAAUUAUUAGUUCAUUUACUACUGUUAGUGGUGUUCUAUAUGAACCACUAAUUGGUUUAUAGCCAUACAUUUUUCUCCGUGCAGGCCAUGAAUAAAGCACUACGUUUACGUCUUCUGUUUCAGACGAAUACAAUUAAUCCAAAAACUCAUUGGGAACAGUAUCAUGGCUAGCCUCGCAAAACUCAUCGCUAGCUUCGCAAAACUCAUCGCUGCAGAAAAGAG